Molecule: long non-coding RNA, 579 nt
Organism: Cyprinus carpio carpio
Lineage: Eukaryota; Metazoa; Chordata; Actinopteri; Cypriniformes; Cyprinidae
Source: Ensembl
AAGCCACCAAACUGCACAAGCACAAGACCACAGGAAGCUAUUGCCAUGAUAUAUUCACUCCAAGCAGACAACGAUUGAAAUCAUCAGACGCCACACUCAGUUAAAGUAUGCAAACGAGUAUUUAAGGAAGCCUCAGAAUCUGUCCAUCUCCAUUAUAUUUCCUGUUACUCCACCCUCUUUUCCUCAUCUUGCCCUGUGGGUCUCUUGCAUCUCGCUGCCAAUCUGCAAGCUGUUAUGGCCAGCCCAGUCAAGCUGGGUGUUUUCUCGAAGUCACAACAGUGAUCAGGGCAAACCUCCAAUGUCAUCCCUCCAUCUUCCCCCCAAAGUACACGGGAGCUUACUAAUGAAUCAAAUGAGCUGUCGACACAGGAAAACCUCUGGACCAAACUGCUGGAAGAAACUGGAUGGUAAUUUAUAACAAGCUCCAAAAAGGCAGCAUAAAAGUACACAUAUUUGGGUACCACUUUACAAAAAAAUUGAAUAGGCCCAUUCGUUAAUGUAGUUAAUGCAUUAACAUCAACUUACAAUGAGCAACACAUUUGCUGUUUAUAUAUACAUUUACAUAACAUAUAUAUAUAU